RNAcentral lists this ribosomal RNA (466 nucleotides) under uncultured bacterium. Its description in RNAcentral is "bacterial SSU rRNA". It matches the Rfam family "Bacterial small subunit ribosomal RNA", at positions 355 to 825 of the family's 1533-position model. The record is from RNAcentral.
UAGGGAAUAUUGGACAAUGGGUGCAAGCCUGAUCCAGCCAUGCCGCGUGCAGGAAGAAGGCCUUCUGGGUUGUAAACUGCUUUUGCCAGGGGAUAAAAUUUCUUUGCGAAGAAAAUUGAAGGUACCUGGUGAAUAAGCCACGGCUAACUACGUGCCAGCAGCCGCGGUAAUACGUAGGUGGCAAGCGUUGUCCGGAUUUAUUGGGUUUAAAGGGUGCGUAGGCGGUUCCAUAAGUCAGUGGUGAAAUACAAUAGCUUAACUAUUGAGGUGCCAUUGAUACUGCGGAACUUGAGUACAGACGAGGUAGGCGGAAUUGACGGUGUAGCGGUGAAAUGCUUAGAUAUCGUCAAGAACACCGAUAGCGAAGGCAGCUUACUAGACUGUAACUGACGCUGAGGCACGAAAGUGUGGGGAUCAAACAGGAUUAGAUACCCCCGUAGUCCCUGAGCGGGCUGGCAAGGCGCAU